Ictalurus punctatus (channel catfish) is the source of this 574-nucleotide long non-coding RNA. NCBI's taxonomy places the organism in Eukaryota, Metazoa, Chordata, Actinopteri, Siluriformes, Ictaluridae. The record is from Ensembl.
CACAAACCUUUCAUCUUUUAUGUUAGUUCAUACUUCUGUUGUAUUAUUUGUAGUUCAUGCAAAAUGUCCAGUAUUUACCUGUGCAAAACUUCUUGCUUUGAAGGUGGAACAGAUUCCUGGGAAGGAUUAUAUUAUCCCAGAGCAGCAGGAGGUGUGGGAUGUGGACUCUCAGUCACAGGGUCUCCUGACAGCUGAAAAGUUCACUCUCCAUCUUACUGCCAUGGAGCUGCAGGCUGAGAUGUGGGAUGAAGACUCAGAUUCAGAUGGUUCUCUGAUGCCUGAAACGUCCACCACCUAUGUGAAUACUUCAGAACUCCAGCCUGAGGUCUGGGAUGUGGACAGCGAGCACAGAGAUUUCUUGCCUUGUACACCGUGGGUGACAUGCUGGGGAGUGGAGGCUUUGGCACAGUUUAUGAAGGAACUUGUAAGAAAGAUGGACAACAGGUAAAUUUCCCCCCUCUUUUGUAGGUGUACCUCACAUGAUUCAAAAUCCUCAUUAUAUUUUUUUUUUAUUAUGAAGAAUAUUUAAAUAGUCUAUUAUUUCAGUAAUGGGCUACUGACAUUUUGUUAUUUA